This 496-nucleotide ribosomal RNA is filed under the name uncultured bacterium. Its description in RNAcentral is "partial 16S ribosomal RNA". It matches the Rfam family "Bacterial small subunit ribosomal RNA", at positions 29 to 507 of the family's 1533-position model. The record is from RNAcentral.
AUGAACGCUGGCGGCGUGCCUAAUACAUGCACGUCGAGCGAACAGACGAGGAGCUUGCUCCUCUGACGUUAGCGGCGGACGGGUGAGUAACACGUGGAUAACCUACCUAUAAGACUGGGAUAACUUCGGGAAACCGGAGCUAAUACCGGAUAAUAUAUUGAACCGCAUGGUUCAAUAGUGAAAGACGGUUUUGCUGUCACUUAUAGAUGGAUCCGCGCCGCAUUAGCUAGUUGGUAAGGUAACGGCUUACCAAGGCAACGAUGCGUAGCCGACCUGAGAGGGUGAUCGGCCACACUGGAACUGAGACACGGUCCAGACUCCUACGGGAGGCAGCAGUAGGGAAUCUUCCGCAAUGGGCGAAAGCUUGACGGAGCAACGCCGCGUGAGUGAUGAAGGUCUUCGGAUCGUAAUACUCUGUUAUUAGGGAAGAACAAAUGUGUAAGUAACUAUGCACGUCUUGACGGUACCUAAUCAGAAAGCCACGGCUAACUACGUG